CGGUGUCGUGGUCAACAACUGCCCUUUUUUUUACCCCCGAAAAGUGGGGGUGCACCCCCUGCACCGGUGCUUCUGGCGCGCUUGACUCAGAGGUCUCCACCUUAUUUGAAUGCCUUUCCUACAAUGAAAACAAUCACAGGAGGCUGGCUCUUGUACAAAGCAGCUGGUGGAAAUGGA
Molecule: long non-coding RNA, 177 nt
Organism: Alosa alosa (allis shad)
Lineage: Eukaryota; Metazoa; Chordata; Actinopteri; Clupeiformes; Clupeidae
Exons: 3
Source: RefSeq, a predicted model, not a curated record